RNAcentral lists this ribosomal RNA (274 nucleotides) under uncultured bacterium. Its description in RNAcentral is "partial 16S ribosomal RNA". It matches the Rfam family "Bacterial small subunit ribosomal RNA", at positions 523 to 796 of the family's 1533-position model. The record is from RNAcentral.
CUACGGAGGGAGCAAGCGUUAUUCGGAAUCACUGGGCGUAAAGGACGCGUAGGCGGGUUUGUAAGUCAGGUGUGAAAUCCUACAGCUCAACUGUAGAACUGCACUUGAAACUACAGACCUAGAGUAUGGAAGGGGCAGAUGGAAUUAGUGGUGUAGGGGUAAAAUCCGUAGAUAUCACUAGGAAUACCGAAAGCGAAGGCGAUCUGCUGGGACAUUACUGACGCUGAGGCGUGAAAGCGUGGGGAGCAAACAGGAUUAGAUACCCUUGUAGUCC